Molecule: ribosomal RNA, 323 nt
Filed under: uncultured soil bacterium
Lineage: Bacteria
Description: bacterial SSU rRNA
Rfam family: Bacterial small subunit ribosomal RNA
Source: RNAcentral
AGAGUGAACGCUGGCGGUAGGCCUAACACAUGCAAGUCGAACGGCAGCACAGUAGGAGCUUGCUCUUACGGGUGGCGAGUGGCGGACGGGUGAGGAAUACAUCGGAAUCUACCUUUUGGUGGGGGAUAACGUAGGGAAACUUACGCUAAUACCGCAUACGCCCUUCGGGGGAAAGCCGGGGACCAGCAAUGGCCUGGUGCUGAUAGAUGAGCCGAUGUCGGAUUAGCUAGUUGGUGAGGUAAUGGCUCACCAAGGCGACGAUCCGUAGCUGGUCUGAGAGGAUGAUCAGCCACACUGGAACUGAGACACGGUCCAGACUCCUA